Molecule: long non-coding RNA, 2411 nt
Filed under: Cinara cedri
Lineage: Eukaryota; Metazoa; Arthropoda; Insecta; Hemiptera; Aphididae
Source: RNAcentral
AAACAAUACGAAUAUAAACUAUACAGUUGGUCUUUUCAUUACGUUUUGCGGCGAGAGGGAAUCCAGUGCAACAAGAUUCAAUAUUUUUCUGAUUAUAUUAUACAUUAUGUCGGCCGGAACGACCCGAACGAUAAUGCUACUAUGUCCACAACGUAUGUACAAGACACGACAACGGCAGCUCCGAUCCGCAACAUUGACCGUUUGUUGCCGUUUCUCUCUAUCUUACGUCCGGUGAAUAGAUCAACGAAAAGAACCGAUUGGCCUUUCUAGGCCGCAGUUUUGCCACGAUAUUGUUUGUUUUGUAUCUGUCGGUGAAAGUUGAAAAGGACUCAAAAAAAUUCAAUCAUAUCUUAACGGUGGAUUGUUGUGGUACGACCUAAAGGUUUUUCUCGGCCAUUCUUGUGACUUAAAUUCGGUGAGUAGUAUUUUAUUACCAUUACCCAUAAUUGCUUUUUGAAGUAUAUAUCGUAUUAAACAAAAUGUUGUUGUACCUGUCACUUGUACCCAAAUGUGGAAUGAUACUGUUGAUAAUGUUCUAAAUGUUCCCCGCACUUUUCAGUUUGUUUGAUAAUGGUUUAUCAAUUAUUAUACAAUUUGGAUACCUAUCUCUUAAGUUUAAUUUUGUCUAAUAAAUGGUUUAAAUUUGUUUUCAUCAGAAACAAUUCUUUAAGGAUGUUGUUAUUUCAUUAAUUUGUAUUCUGUCUUGAGAUUUACAUUUUGUUACAUUUUUAAUAACUAGUGUCCAGUGAUUAACCAACUACAUGCAGUUGUAUAUUUAGUAGUUUAAAUAGAAAUGUUAAGAUUCAAUAUUUUUAAUUGUAAGUAGGUAAACUAUUACCUUAAUACCUAAAUUUAAUAAUACAUUUAGCAUUUUAAUGUGUACACAAAUACAAUAUUAAAAAUACUUUUCAUUUUCAAAAUAGUAAAAUAUAAAAACUAAAUAACCAAAUUUCAUUUAUUUUGUUAACAUAGGUAAAUUAUAAAUGCAUUUAUUUUAUAAUAUUAUAUUAGGUAUAUGUUUUUUUAAAAAAUUUACUCCAUAAAAACCUCCAUAUGUUCAAAAAUUGUACAUAAAAAAUAAAUUACCUUUAUUGUUCAAUUUGAAUUUCAUGUUUCCAAUAACUGAAUAGUAGUUACUUAAGUAUAUUAGUCUAAUGAAUCUAAUGACCUUGAAGUUUUUCUAUGACUACCUAUAUGAAUAUAAUUUUAAUAAGAUGUAUUACUCUAAAGAAUUAUAAUAUAAUAACCUUUAUAAUAUAGGUGCCUAAUACAUAUCAGUACUGCAUACAUCAUAAGUCACAAAAAGCAAAUCUGUAGUAUGAAAACUAUCAUGCUGGUCAUACAUUAAAUUAAAUUAAACUAAAUAUUCUUUUUAAAUUGAGCAGACCAAUGCUUAUUUUAAUUUUAGUUGUUGGAUUUUGAUUUUUUUGGUUUUUGAUAAUUUUUUUAACCAAAUAAUUAUGUAUUAUUGUUAAUAAAUGAGUUAUGUUUUAUGUAAAACUGAAAAUUAUAUAUUAAAACUAUAAAAGUAUUUAAUACACUAAGGUAUUAUAAUGAGUACCUAAGUGGGUUGUGGAUAAAAAUUGUACCCCAUUACCCCUGUUGAUUUGAAACUUGCCUCUCCUCCAAAGAACUGUGAUAAAUCUGUCACUGACAUUUAUUAUAUUUAACUGUAGUUUGACCAAACCAUUGAUGACCUACAUAUUUUUAAAAUUAAUAUAAUAUUGUACAUAUUUAAAUAAUUUGAACUCCUUCAAUCUAUGUAUUAAUAAUAUUUAUAAAUUAUAAAAGAAAAAUUAAGUUACUUAUGUAAAUAAAAAAGUGUUAGUAUUAUUUUUCCUAAAUAAAAUGCAUUAAAUAUUUUUAAAAAAGUAGUUAUAAAAAUGAUAAAAUUAAACAAAAUUAAAAAAUACAACUUAAAAAAAGAGCUUGAAAGGAUUAUAAAUAAUAUAAGAUUGUACUUCUCUCAUUUUAAGCAUCAUAUAUUUGUAUUUCUUUCAGUGUAUUUUUUGUCUUAAACAACUACCAUGUCUAGUUAUAAUGACUACCAACAUUGGCCUCAAGAAUCUGCUUCAAAUACAGAUGAAGAUGAAUUAUCGUCACCUGAAAUUGAACAAGACGAAAGUAAUGAUGACACUGAAUCAUCAACAACAAGUACUAGUACAUCAGCUACUAGUAGUAGUGGUAGUAGUCAAUCAGGUUCAGAUUCUGAAAGUACUAGUACUGCCGAUGAAGAUGAAACUAUAUCACUAAAAACUGAAACAGCUUUAGCCAAUAAAACUGAACUUGUUUUACCAGUUGGGAUGUGUGAAGAUGAAGAAGUGUUCAAACAAUUAUUUUCUGUUAAUUCUUGGGUGUGCCUAAGUGAUCAGCAAAAACAACAUUUAAAGGUAUAUAAUUACAUUUCUACA